AGGAUCAUUACCGAGUUUUCGGGCUUCGGCUCGACUCUCCCACCCUUUGUGAACGUACCUCUGUUGCUUUGGCGGCUCCGGCCGCCAAAGGACCUUCAAACUCCAGUCAGUAAACGCAGACGUCUGAUAAACAAGUUAAUAAACUAAAACUUUCAACAACGGAUCUCUUGGUUCUGGCAUCGAUGAAGAACGCAGCGAAAUGCGAUAAGUAAUGUGAAUUGCAGAAUUCAGUGAAUCAUCGAAUCUUUGAACGCACAUUGCGCCCCUUGGUAUUCCGGGGGGCAUGCCUGUUCGAGCGUCAUUACAACCCUCAAGCUCUGCUUGGAAUUGGGCACCGUCCUCAUUGCGGACGCGCCUCAAAGACCUCGGCGGUGGCUGUUCAGCCCUCAAGCGUAGUAGAAUACACCUCGCUUUGGAGCGGUUGGCGUCGCCCGCCGGACGAACCUUCUGAACUUUUCUCAAGGUUGACCUCGGAUCAG
Molecule: ribosomal RNA, 479 nt
Filed under: fungal sp. 298C2AE
Lineage: Eukaryota; Fungi
Description: eukaryotic LSU rRNA
Rfam family: 5.8S ribosomal RNA (bases 148-301)
Source: RNAcentral